RNAcentral lists this ribosomal RNA (443 nucleotides) under Duganella zoogloeoides. Its description in RNAcentral is "bacterial SSU rRNA". It matches the Rfam family "Bacterial small subunit ribosomal RNA", at positions 64 to 504 of the family's 1533-position model. The record is from RNAcentral. Lineage: Bacteria; Pseudomonadati; Pseudomonadota; Betaproteobacteria; Burkholderiales; Oxalobacteraceae.
GAACGGCAGCGCGGGGCAACCUGGCGGCGAGUGGCGAACGGGUGAGUAAUAUAUCGGAACGUACCCAAGAGUGGGGGAUAACGUAGCGAAAGUUACGCUAAUACCGCAUACGAUCUAUGGAUGAAAGUGGGGGAUCGCAAGACCUCAUGCUCCUGGAGCGGCCGAUAUCUGAUUAGCUAGUUGGUAGGGUAAAGGCCUACCAAGGCUACGAUCAGUAGCUGGUCUGAGAGGACGACCAGCCACACUGGAACUGAGACACGGUCCAGACUCCUACGGGAGGCAGCAGUGGGGAAUUUUGGACAAUGGGCGCAAGCCUGAUCCAGCAAUGCCGCGUGAGUGAAGAAGGCCUUCGGGUUGUAAAGCUCUUUUGUCAGGGAAGAAACGGUGGGAGCUAAUAUCUCCUACUAAUGACGGUACCUGAAGAAUAAGCACCGGCUAACUAC